This is a long non-coding RNA of Alligator mississippiensis (American alligator), 1962 nucleotides long. RefSeq lists it as uncharacterized. The transcript is spliced from 2 exons. The record is from RefSeq and is a predicted model, not a curated record. NCBI's taxonomy places the organism in Eukaryota, Metazoa, Chordata, Crocodylia, Alligatoridae.
UGUCAAGAAGGUAACCUGAACAGUGAAGAAGAAACUAGCAGAAAAAGGGUGGGGAAAUGCAAGAUUAAACACAGAAGGGUGGAGCCAUCAGAACUUAAACAGCAGUAGCACUUCCUACUCUGCUAGGCCACAGUCUUCUGCUGACUUGUCUUCCCCAUAUUUUACAUUCAAAACUGAAGUUCUGUUUUUUUCUGGAAGCCGCCCUGGACAGCAGUUAACAGGACGCCCCAAUUGGCCAAAAAAAACCCCAGCAUAAAAGGCUGAAGAAGAACAGAGGCUACUGAAAACAGAAAGAAAAAAAACGAUUCCCCCAGAGAAAAGCUAUUGUUAUCUAAGCACCUACUCAUAGACAAUGCAGCCAUGUAUCAUCAUGUGGCAAGAAUAAAAAUGCUGUAAUGUCUCAUCUUUAGCAAGCCACCCACCACCCUCCCUAUUGUCCUAGGGAUACAAGGAAGAAUUAGAUCACUGGCAAACACCCUUGGAUUAACAGCUAAAUGAAGGCCCCAAGUGAAUUAUUCAUUCCAUAGCUCAUUCUCUGCCUUGUGCAAUGAAAACAGAAAGAAAUACCCCGAUACACACAAAGCUGGACCACUCGUUGCUGCAACUUUGUUUGUUUGGCAAGUAGCAAGGAAACUUGAUGCCACCCCCCUGGAUAUACACUUUAUCCGUCUCUGCAAUUCAGUUCUGACAGCUUGGCUGCUAAAGAUGUGUUAUGUUCCGAAUACCGUAUAAUAACAAACUGCCAAAAAGGUAAACCGUAGCAUUUUCCCAUGAAACAAGUGUAGACUAGUGCAGCUUCAUCCUCUGCUGAAUCAUCCAUACAGAAAGACAGAAUUCUAUACAGGAACUAUACCAGUUGGGGGCAACAUUUUUGGCAGGCGUGCCACAAAAUGCCAGAGCAGAAACGAAAGGACAGUGGCUCUGUUCAAGUUUCUAUCAGCAGCUUAAAACCACUUUGCCAACAUUUGUAGGCAUAUUUGCAAUACAUAAUGGAAUAUGAGGGAUUUCAAGUGACAGGCACACCCAGAAAGAUGUUUGAAGUUAUGGGUUAAACCCAGAGGCUGUUCCCAGCUUGAGCCAGGAACAAAAUGCGCACAGCUUGACUGGAGCGUCAGUGGAUAUGAGGCAGGGACCACAUUCUGUUCCAAUCAAGUGCUAGGACACAAGCGAGCCAUAAAAUGCGAGAUACGUUCCCCGAUUCCAGCCAGGGAGCAUGAUCAACCACAAAGCGAUCAGCUCCUGGUCCUGCUUCUUCCAAAAACAAACAAACCCCGAUCUGAAGUAACCACCAGAAACCCAUACUGCAGGCUUAUGCCAGCUACAAAGCAGAAAAGGCUAAGAUGCUGUCUGCCAAGGACACCUUUACUUCCUUAGCCUGCCAGUGAAGGGGCCGUUCGGAGAGAGAAGUGAAGAAUGGAGAAGAGCUGCCACCCUCCAGCACGCAUCUGUAUCAGUCAUGACUGCUUAGGCUCUCUGCCUCAGGAAUAUGCACAAAUUUGCCACAGCCCAAGUUUCCAUCCCGCCACUAUGCCUCAAUACAUUCCUAUGUUCUAGUGGAUGAAACAUAAGCCUGCACUUGCGCCAGCAUUUGGCGAAGGCUCACACUGAUAUCUACUUUACGAUCACGCAGGACAUGAGGCUAGAAGGGACUUCCUGGGUCAGAGUCCAGCCCUUGUUGUAUUGCAGGCAACCACAUCAUAUAAUCCAUUUCAUAAGUUUAUCAUGCUCCACCCUAAAACUACCUGUGACGAUCAUCCUACUACCUUUAUGGGAAGUCUGUUCCAAAACCUCACCCCUCCGAUGACUAGAAACACUCUACUCAUCUCCCGUAUAUAUAUUUGUGACCAACUUAUGCCUGCUUGUUCUUGUGCCAAUAUUGUCACUGCUUUAACUAGCUCUUUUCCCUUUCUGGUUCCCAGAAUACAUGCAAUAUUUCCAAUAAAGUCUCAUGGGUGCUUUCUA